CAGACUCAGGAACCCAGCUGGCUUCACCCAGUGGAUACCGCACAGGGGCUACAGGUGGAGCUGCCUGCCAGUCGCGCCGUGCGCCGGCACUCCUCAGCCCUUGGGUGGUCGAUGGGACUGGGCGUGGUGGAGCAGGGGGCGGCGCUCGUCGGAGAGUCUCGGGUCUCAGGUCGCACAGGAGCCUACGGAGCGGGGGAAGGCUCAGGCAUGGCGGGCUGCAGGUCCUGAGCGCCGCCCCGCGGGAAGGCAGCUAAGGUCUGGCGAGAAAUUGAGCACAGCAGCUGCUGGCCCAGGUGCUAAGCCCCUCACUGCCCCGGGCCGGCGGCUCCAAGUGCGGGGCCCGCCCGAGCCCACGCCCACCAGGAACUCGCGCUGGCCCGCAAGCACCGCGCGCAGCCCCGGUUCCCGCCCGCGCCUCUCCCUCCACACCUCCCCACAAGCUGAGGGAGCCGGCUCCGGCCUUGGCCAGCCCAGAAAGGGGCUCCCACAGUGCAGCGGUGGGCUGAAGGGCUCCUCAAGUGCCGCCAAAGUGGGAGCCAAGGCAGAGGAGGCGCUGAGAGUGAGCAAGGGCUGUGAGGACUGCCAGCACGCUGUCACCUCUCAGUAACAGUAAGAAGAGAGAGGAGGACAUCUAAUUCUGGAAGAAAUGUGCCCAUUCGGAAACUACCUUGACCGAUAAGAGCAGAAAGCCCCGGAAGAAUAUUCACCGGACUUCUCUGGGGGAAGGAUUACAGCUCAGAAACCACAACAGAUGGAAGCGGGUGUGGGCCAUAAUUAGUGCCCGAGGUGAGUGAAGAAAGCCAGGAAAACCUCGUCAAAGGAAAUCAGCCUAGAGAAUAAAGGCUCCCUGGGUUUGCUUUGGAAGAAAGGACAGGGGAUUAUGUCCUUGCGCCUUCAAGAACAAGAGACCUGGCACUGGAUUAAACCAUCCAAAUAGUAAAACCAAUAAUUAUGUGUUGUGGGCAGGGCCAGCCUGGUUUCUCAGUGCCACAUCCACUUCCUGUGGUGCGUGGCAGGUCUACAGGGAACGGCAAUGCCAAAUUUCCUCAGCUUUCUUUUCAGUGCAGGGAAGUUAGAAUAAAGCCAGAGAGUGUGGCUUGAAGAUACAAAGCAAGCCACUGAGAAGAUCAUUUGAGCAAGACGAGCCAGGUUUCAACCAGAAUGGCUCGUUCUCUGUGAUCGGUUGGCCGAGCCGGGGACAUGCUCUGGUGGUGGAACUAGUCUGGGUGAAAAUGAUUUGGAGGAAGAAGACCAAGGGCGGGAAGUGAGUGAAGAAGCAACUGCGUAUUUCGGACAAAGAACGGGUUUGGCUGACUUCUCGAUCUUUCCCAAGGACUGCACGAGAACAUUCAGGAAUUGCUAACCUCUGGGAGAAGUUUGGAUCAUGGUUCCUGCCCUCAGCCAUGGCUUUGGCAUCAGCACCCUCUGUCAAGAGAAAUGGCUCAUUUCCCUUUGUCCCACAAAGUCAACUUAAAAAAAAAUGACCUAAUUCAGCAAAAUUAGUCAUUGGCUACCUUCAUAUACAGGAGCUAUGGGAGUGGGAGGUACCAAAGAAGAAGCUGUGGCUCUCACCAUGUUGGAGUUCAAGGAGGGUGAUGGCCAUCGGGGGUGCCAGCUUUGGGAGUGUCCCUCUGAAAAUGAGUCCUUCCCAGUAUCAUCCACCCCAUGGAGUGAUACUCCAGGGUGUCUGUCUCCUUAUGCCCAUGUGACUGGGUGGUACACACCCUGGAGUGAGGAGGUGGUCCUCACAGAGGUCCUUUAGGUCAGGAUUCCCAGAGGGUCCGCCCAGAAGUCCCUUUAGCUCCACCUCCCUGAAGGUCCUGGGAUAGGGCUCUGCCCAUACUGAGGGCUCAGUGAUCUCAGCACGAUACUUGGGCAAAAUGUGCUUACCUCAUCUACACCCUCUAAAUUUUUAGGAGGCACCCACUUGCUGCAAUGCAUUACUCAGCAUUGUGGGGUUCUUUUCUCACAUGCUUUGACUGGCAGGGAGUUCACUGCCUUGGUAAAGAGAUACAGUCAGUUAACUAGGGAACAAGGUACCCCCUGCCUCCCCAACCCUGCCUUUUUUUGAGACAGGGUCUUUCUCUGUUGCCCAGGCUGGAGUGCAGUCUUGUGAUCAUAGCUCACUGCAGCCUCAAUCUCCUGGGCUCAGGUGAUUCUCCCACCUCAGCCUCUUGAGUAGCUGGGACUACAGGCGUGUGCCACUAUGUCUAGGUAAUUUUUAAAUGUUUUGUAGCGGGGGGGAUCUUACUAUAUUGCCCAGGCUGGUCUCAAACUCCUGGGCUCAAGGAAUCCUCCCACCUCAGCCUCCCAAAGCACUGGGAUUACGAGCAUGAGCCGCCCAGCCCUGCUUCUUUUUUACCCUUCUCUAUGACAUGUAUCACCAAAU
RNAcentral lists this long non-coding RNA (2389 nucleotides) under Homo sapiens (human). RNAcentral's name for it is "HSALNT0212183". Lineage: Eukaryota; Metazoa; Chordata; Mammalia; Primates; Hominidae. The record is from RNAcentral.